Molecule: transfer RNA, 73 nt
Filed under: Phytoamicus setariae
Lineage: Bacteria; Pseudomonadati; Pseudomonadota; Alphaproteobacteria; Hyphomicrobiales; Rhizobiaceae
Description: tRNA-Ser
Source: RNAcentral
GCCCUGCAUUUCAGUCGGUUGAACCUGAUUUGUAAUCAGGGGGUCGCGCGUUCGAGUCGUGCUGGGGGCACCA